Molecule: ribosomal RNA, 497 nt
Filed under: uncultured bacterium
Lineage: Bacteria
Description: partial 16S ribosomal RNA
Rfam family: Bacterial small subunit ribosomal RNA
Source: RNAcentral
GAUGAACGCUGGCGGCGUGCCUAAUACAUGCAAGUCGAGCGAACAGACGAGGAGCUUGCCCCUCUGACGUUAGCGGCGGACGUGUGAGUCACAUGUGGAUAACCUACCUCUCAGACUGGGAUAACUUCGGGACACCGGCGCUAAUUCCGGAUAAUAUAUUGAACCGCAUGGUUCAAUAGUGAAAGACGGUUUUGCUUUCAUUUAUACACGGAUCCGCGCCGGAUUAGCUAGUUGGUAAGGUAACGGCUUACCAAGGCAUCGACGCGCUGCCGACGUGAGAGAGGGAUCGGCCGCACGGGAGCGUGAACGGGGACCAGAGGCCUGAGAGAGGGAGCAGAAGCGAAUCGGCCGCAAUAGGGGAGAGCAUGGCGGAACGGCGCCGCGUGAGAGAUAAAGGUGUUCGGAGCGUAAAACUCGGUUAUGAGGGGAGAACAAAUGUGUAAGUAACAAUACACGUCGUGACGGUACCUGAACAGAAAGCCACGGCUAACUACGUG